CCUACGGGGGGCAGCAGUGGGGAAUAUUGGACAAUGGGGGCAACCCUGAUCCAGCCAUGCCGCGUGUGUGAAGAAGGCCCUCGGGUUGUAAAGCACUUUCAGUGAGGAAGAACGCCUGGUGGUUAAUACCCAUCAGGAAAGACAUCACUCACAGAAGAAGCACCGGCUAACUCCGUGCCAGCAGCCGCGGUAAUUCGGAGGGUGCGAGCGUUAAUCGGAAUUACUGGGCGUAAAGCGCGCGUAGGUGGCUUGAUAAGCCGGUUGUGAAAGCCCCGGGCUCAACCUGGGAACGGCAUCCGGAACUGUCAAGCUAGAGUGCAGGAGAGGAAGGUAGAAUUCCCGGUGUAGCGGUGAAAUGCGUAGAGAUCGGGAGGAAUACCAGUGGCGAAGGCGGCCUUCUGGACUGACACUGACACUGAGGUGCGAAAGCGUGGGUAGCAAACAGGAUUAGAUACCCUUGUAGUC
Molecule: ribosomal RNA, 465 nt
Filed under: Vreelandella stevensii
Lineage: Bacteria; Pseudomonadati; Pseudomonadota; Gammaproteobacteria; Oceanospirillales; Halomonadaceae
Description: partial 16S ribosomal RNA
Rfam family: Bacterial small subunit ribosomal RNA
Source: RNAcentral